GGCAGUGUAGCCAAGUGGUUACGGCGUCACGUUUAGGCUUUUCAGCAUUAUACCGUGAUGGGUUUCCCGCGCGAGUUCGAAUCUCGUCACUGUCA
Molecule: non-coding RNA, 95 nt
Organism: Panus rudis PR-1116 ss-1
Lineage: Eukaryota; Fungi; Basidiomycota; Agaricomycetes; Polyporales; Panaceae
Source: the annotation of a GenBank genome assembly